AUCAGUUUGUCGGAUUAUGUAUUCAGGGACGUGGGUUUUUCGGCGAGUUUUGAUUUGUAACUAUUUAUUACACUCUGGAAUUCUCAUUCCAGACAAUAUUUGACUUUAAAGUUAAUACCUGUUAUAUUAGCAGAUAAGAUAAGAAUACCUCAGUUUGUUCAUCAUCAUCCUCAAUACCUCAGUUUGUUCAUCAUCAUCCUUCUCUAUGUCUCACGUCUCGAUCUCCUACUACACGCGACGUUUGCCAAGAGUUCCGAACCUGUAUGCAACUCAGAUGAAACAUGGUUUGUUUGUCUGAAAUAGAUAACUGAAGCCAGUUGUUGCAA
Molecule: long non-coding RNA, 326 nt
Filed under: Solanum lycopersicum (tomato)
Lineage: Eukaryota; Viridiplantae; Streptophyta; Magnoliopsida; Solanales; Solanaceae
Description: long non-coding RNA (SLYC_LNC000159)
Source: RNAcentral